UGGGUUUUUGGUNNACCGNCGAAAGUCUGAACCAGCCAUGCCGCGUGCAGGAAGACUGCCCUACGGGUUGUAAACUGCUUUUAUAUAGGAAUAAACCCUCGUUCGUGAACGAGGCUGAAGGUACUAUAAGAAUAAGGACCGGCUAACUCCGUGCCAGCAGCCGCGGUAAUACGGAGGGUCCAAGCGUUAUCCGGAUUUAUUGGGUUUAAAGGGUCCGCAGGCGGGAGAAUAAGUCAGUGGUGAAAUCCUGUCGCUUAACGAUAGAACUGCCAUUGAUACUGUUUUUCUUGAGUAUAGAUGAAGUGGGCGGAAUGUGUCAUGUAGCGGUGAAAUGCAUAGAUAUGACACAGAACACCGAUUGCGAAGGCAGCUCACUAAACUAUAACUGACGCUCAUGGACGAAAGCGUGGGGAGCGAACAGGAUUAGAUACCCUGGUAGUCCACGCUGUAAACGAUGAUUACUCGGUGUUAACGAUAUACGGUUAGUGCCUAAGCGAAAGUGAUAAGUAAUCCACCUGGGGAGUACGGUCGCAAGAUUGAAACUCAAAGGAAUUGACGGG
This 560-nucleotide ribosomal RNA is filed under the name uncultured Alphaproteobacteria bacterium. RNAcentral describes it as "bacterial SSU rRNA". It matches the Rfam family "Bacterial small subunit ribosomal RNA", at positions 357 to 917 of the family's 1533-position model. Lineage: Bacteria; Pseudomonadati; Pseudomonadota; Alphaproteobacteria. The record is from RNAcentral.